GCUGGGCAUAGUGGCAUGUGCCUGUGGUCCCAGCUACUCUCUGGAGGCUGAGGUGGGAGAAUUGCUUGAGCCCAGGAGUUCCAGGCUGCAGUCAGCCAUGAUCACACCACUGCACUCCAGCCUGGGCAACAGAGUGAGCCCUCAUCUCAA
This 150-nucleotide non-coding RNA is filed under the name Nomascus leucogenys (northern white-cheeked gibbon). The record is from Rfam by way of RNAcentral. Lineage: Eukaryota; Metazoa; Chordata; Mammalia; Primates; Hylobatidae.